CAGCCGCCGCGGUAAAACCAGCACCUCAAGUGGUCAGGAUGAUUAUUGGGCCUAAAGCAUCCGUAGCCGGCUCUGUAAGUUUUCGGUUAAAUCUGUACGCUCAACGUACAGGCUGCCGGGAAUACUGCAGAGCUAGGGAGUGGGAGAGGUAGACGGUACUCGAUAGGAAGGGGUAAAAUCCUUUGAUCUAUUGAUGACCACCUGUGGCGAAGGCGGUCUACCAGAACACGUCCGACGGUGAGGGAUGAAAGCUGGGGGAGCAAACCGGAUUAGAUACCCGGGUAGUCCCAGCUGUAAACUAUGCAAACUCGGUGAUGCAUUGGCUUGAUGCCAAUGCAGUGCCGCAGGGAAGCCGUUAAGUUUGCCGCCUGGGAAGUACGUACGCAAGUAUGAAACUUAAAGGAAUUGGCGGGGGAGCAC
Molecule: ribosomal RNA, 420 nt
Filed under: uncultured Nitrososphaerota archaeon
Lineage: Archaea; Thermoproteati; Nitrososphaerota
Description: bacterial SSU rRNA
Rfam family: Archaeal small subunit ribosomal RNA
Source: RNAcentral